UACGUAGGGACCAAGCGUUGUUCGGAUUUACUGGGCGUAAAGGGCGCGUAGGCGGCUUGACAAGUCACUUGUGAAAUCUCCGGGCUUAACUCGGAACGGCCAAGUGAAACUGUCAUGCUAGAGUGCAGAAGGGGCAAUCGGAAUUCUUGGUGUAGCGGUGAAAUGCGUAGAUAUCAGGAGGAACACCGGUGGCGAAGGCGGGUCUCUGGGCCGAUACUGACGCUGAGGAGCGAAAGCGUGGGGAGCGAACAGG
Molecule: ribosomal RNA, 253 nt
Filed under: uncultured bacterium
Lineage: Bacteria
Description: partial 16S ribosomal RNA
Rfam family: Bacterial small subunit ribosomal RNA
Source: RNAcentral